GAUGAACGCUAGCGGCAGGCCUAAUACAUGCAAGUCGAACGGAUAUAUGUUUUUCGGAAUAUAUAUUAGUGGCGCACGGGUGAGUAACACGUACAUAACUUGCCCUCAAGCGGGGGAUAGCCUUGGGAAACUGAGAGUAAUACCCCAUAGAAUUAUUGGACGGCAUCGUUUGAUAAUUAAAACUACGGUGUUUGGGGAUAGAUGUGCGUCUGAUUAGCUAGUUGGUGAGGUAACUGCUCACCAAGGCGACGAUCAGUAGGGGGCGUGAGAGCGUGGCCCCCCACACGGGUACUGAGACACGGACCCGACUCCUACGGGAGGCAGCAGUAAGGAAUAUUGGUCAAUGGACGAAAGUCUGAACCAGCCAUGCCGCGUGAAGGAUGAAGGUCCUCUGGAUUGUAAACUUCUUUUAUCUGGGACGAAAAAAGGGAAUUCUUUCCCACUUGACGGUACCAGAGGAAUAAGCACCGGCUAACUCCGUGCCAGCAGACGCGGUAAAGUAGUCGUG
RNAcentral lists this ribosomal RNA (508 nucleotides) under uncultured bacterium. RNAcentral describes it as "bacterial SSU rRNA". It matches the Rfam family "Bacterial small subunit ribosomal RNA", at positions 28 to 534 of the family's 1533-position model. The record is from RNAcentral.